RNAcentral lists this long non-coding RNA (8823 nucleotides) under Equus caballus (horse). Its description in RNAcentral is "lncRNA (ENSECAG00000050442.1)". Lineage: Eukaryota; Metazoa; Chordata; Mammalia; Perissodactyla; Equidae. The record is from RNAcentral.
AUUUUUAUUUUAAAUGAAAUGUCCAGAACAGGCAAAUCCUUAGAGAUAAAAAGUAGAUUAGUGGUGGCCAGUGGCUGAGAGGAGACUGAGUAGGGAGUGAAGGCUAAUGAAUAACGGGCUUUCUUUGAAGAUGAUAAAAUUUUUCUGAAAUUAGAUAGUGGUGAUGGCUGUAAAACUUUGUGACUGUACUAAAAGCUACUGAAUUUUAUAUUUCAAAAGGGUGAAUUUUAUGGUGUGUGAAUUAUAUCUCAAUAAAAAAAAUAAAAGAUAUACUCUCGGUAUCAAAUGGUUUUUAACAUAAAGGUUGCAUUACCACAUAGAUGACUCUGAGAUGUAUCUCCCGAAUACUGAAUAAGUUUUCAAAAGAAACGAAACCAUUAAAAGAUUCAAUAAUCGACUAAAACUUUGAGCUGUUUUUCCUUCCAUGUAGGUAGCCUCAUUUUUCAGCCAAUUAAAGCAAGUAAACCUGAACUGAAACCACACAGAUUCACAGGGUCCGUGGAGAGCAAGUCUAUGAAGCUGCGCUGGCGGUCUCAGGCCUUCCCGUCUGGUUUCUGGGACUUUCCUGCCCUUUUGUUUCAGGCGCCCUGCAGCUCACAGGUGCCUUGUGAAGUUUUGCACCACGCUUCCUCCUCACUGCUUCUGAGAAGCUCACCCAGAGCUUGCAAGGUGGGGUCCCUAUCCCAACUGCCGUCAGUUCAAUCUGAGGAAUGAGGCUCUCAAGAGAAACUUCAGGCCUCAGGUCCAGGCGAGUGGGGAGACAUCCUUAGACAGCAGGCCGACUCCUUGAUCACGUCAGGGACGGCACAGAGGGGACACCUCACACAGGACCCACUCUUAGUCCUUAGCAUAGCUUCUGGCCUAUCUGUCAGCAAAAGUCGGCCGUGCCCCUAGGAGGAGUCUCCAGAAGGUUAAAUUGUAUGUAAAAAUCCAGAAGGAACUUUGGAUGGCUCAGUGAGUAUUUCCCAUGUUAAGUCAAAUGCUAUUUAAUACGUUUUAGUUUCAACUCAGCUGAGUUUCACAUCGUUAUGAAUGACAAAUUUAAGAUAAGGAUCCCAUGCUGUCCGCACAAUCAUCCCUUUAGCUAGAGAGUGAGGCCCCACUAUAGGGUCAACCUUCUGUCCCUCCCUCCCUCUGCUUUUAAGAUGUUUUCUGCCUAGAAGGCUCCUCAGACGCUUGUGCAUCUGGUCUCCUAGGAGGAGACCCAGCCUCGCAUUUGCCGGCAGGGGCAGAAGUACGCUUGAGGCCCCCGCCCUCCAACCCACGCCUGCCCCUGUUGUUUCCUCAUCAUCUUUUCGGUCUUGCAACUUGAGGGACCUCGUGCACACUCCUGGGUAUGUGGACAUCCCAGCUCAAAUGUAGGAGGCCUGCAAAGAGCUGCCCUUGGCCACUGUCAGGCUAGGGAUGCAGGGAAUAGCUGUGAUGCUGAGACUUGAAGAGGCCCAGGCAGGUUCUAGAAGCAGGCUGGCACUUUGAGGAAGGAAAUGUCAGGGUUCAGGGUAUCCAAGGCAGGGACUGGAGGAAGUGCACUGGUUCCAGGUGGCCAUUCCCCCUUGGCUUCGCGGACUGCUCUUAACUAAAGCUUGGGCCUCAGGCUGGGGCCCCCUUUGCCUGGUUCUAAGGGCGGAACUGCCUGGAGCUCCCCUGCCACAGUCUUCCAGGCACACGCAGCCACCAAGGACAUCUUACCUCUGCCAGGAAUCCCAGCUUAGUCUUAAACCACCUUUUUACCCACACCCCUUUCUCCAUAAUACAGCACUCACACCUUAUACGCAUCUAUAAGGCAUGCAAAUAAGUGUAAUUCUCUUGUUAGAUGAAGGCAAGAAGUCCCUGCAAUCUAGAGUAAACCAGGCUAAGGUCCAGGUCUUGCAGAGACCAUGUAGAACACACACUCCUUCUUCCACACGGAAUUAUGAAACUCUGCUUCUCUCUCACCAGGACACUCAGCAGGACUCAAGAGUUUAAGGGAUUUUUCUCACUUUAUUGAGCUUCUAAAGUGGUUUUUAAUUCUAUGGGAAUGAUUUAGAAAUUGCUGUGAAAUGUAAUUGAUCUUCAUAAAUGUGCAUAUAAUAUAUUUUGCACUAACAAGCGUUGCAUUGUGAUUUGUUUGCACACGUGUGCCCUUCACUCCUGGAAUGCUGAGGAACGAUGUAUUAUUUUCACUUUUUAAAAAUUAACUCCUUUCUCAAAGGGAGAACAAUAGAAAGUUGCUGGAAAGAUAAUUUCUAGGAAGAAAGGUGAACUCAACCAUUUUUAUGAUUGUGUUUUUUCCUCUCGACAUUGUUUAGCAAAAGCCGGAGAACUUGUCUGUUACUCUCGCAGGACUUCUAAUUAGUCCUGGCCUCAUCUGUAUACACGUAAAGAGUAUUUAGGAUAAUCUUGCACUGCAUAUAAUUAAGCAGGGCUGUGUCCUGGUCUAUAAUCACCAGGGACUCCCUUCUGAGAAAAUGCGCUUCUUAUUUAACUGCCCAAUUUACUCCAUAGUGUGAUGCUGUCAAGGGCUACACCCUUCCCAGGUAAAUUAGUUUUCUCAGACAGACCAUAAAGCCUUGUCAGGGGAGGUGCCUCUUCCAAGAAGUCCUCCCUUUUCAUUUAUUCCGUAUGCAUUCCUCCAUCCUUCUCACCCUGUAAGUACUCAUCAAGACUGACGCCCUAAUUCUCAAGUCCCAGGGCAGAACCCCCACAGGUCUCUUGCUCAAAAAGCACGGCACAAAGCUUUCCUUUCUUUCUCUGUCUCUCUCUUGGCCUGUCGUGGUGUUUCUUAUUUGCUGUUUAACGUCACGCUCCCUGGAGCAUAAGGAUGCUAACAGGGUGAGCACAGACUCUCCUAGGUGCCUGGGCCUGCACAGCACUUGGUGCCUGGGGUCUGUGCACCCACUUUGACCCUCCCUGCACCCGCACCUGAGUCCAGGCCGCCUGCCCAGUGGCUGUGGGCAUUGGAUGGCAGCAGGGAGCAGGCAGUCAACAACCUGCAAGAGUUGGGGAGGCCAUGGGGGGCAUGACUAACCUCCUUCCCACGUGCCGUGCUCCAUUGUCCCUUUGGACUUCACUUACAAAACACUCAUUCAAAGAUAAAACUAUUAAGAAUUUCUGCCACAACUAGAAGGACCCAGAGCUAAGAUAUACAACUAUGUGCUGGGGGGAUUUGGGGAGAUAAAGCAGAAAGAAAAAAGAAAAAAAAAGAAUUUCAAGAGGUGACAGGAGCAUUAAGCCCCAAGCAUGGGGCCCUUCUGAGCCCAGGGCUGCACUGGUGGUCCGCACUUGCUACCUCUGUGGUAUCUUCUCUUCUCCAGUGUGGUGGUGGGCCCAGGAUAGACAGUUACAAGCACUUACUGAAAGCAGUCCUUUAACAGCAAGUUUCCCUGGUCAGUGGGAUGGAGGAGCAUUCUCCACGAGACUGUCUCCUGUAGGCGCUCCUACCACUGACCUGCCAGUGCCCACCAUCGAGGAAACCAGGGGUCUGGCCACGACAUUUAUCUGUAAUUUAUGCCAUUGUUCUGACUUCAGAAAGCACCACAACUUCUGUGCCAGGUUAACAUCCUCUGUCCUUAGCGGUCAUCAACGGCAUACAAGGUCGGCAGAAUGCCCAGCCACCUGCAUUGCCUAACGCAUGGCAGACUGCAUCUGUAUCCACCGGGCACAGCCAGGGGAUGCGAGAAGAGAAAGGGAUGGUUUCCAGCCUUAUUUCAAAUUUAUCUUGGCCCCUACUCCUCCAGCAGAUUUAAACGCUGUCCCUUUUGAGACACAAGUGUAUUUGCGUUGUUCCUCCAUGUCUUGAUUUUAUUACUUUUAUUUCUCUAUUUCCUGUUCACAUGUGCCUAUAUCAGAGUUUUCUACCCUCAUGUAUGAAUAUCAAGUCCUCAUUCCAUAGUUCAAUGACCCAUGCACUAAUAUGUGGUUUUGGAAACAACGUCGCUUUUCUCACCAAAAAAUUACACAUAUUACAGAAAAUCUAGAAAAUUUAGAACAGAAGAAAAUAAACAAUCACCAGAAUGGUAUCAUCAGAGAGAGUUAAUUUAGCAUUUUAGCACACGUAUUUUUGGCCUUCUUUAUACUUACACGUCUAUGGUGUCUAUAUUAUAGAGAUACUGUAAAUAUUUGCUUUUCAUCCACUUGAUAGUGUACCAUGAAUACUUGUCAUGCUGUUAAUUAUUAAUCUAAAACAUGAUUUUCAAACUUUCAGAUGCAUAAGAAUCACCUGGGAGCAUGUGGGAAACGAAGGUUCUAAGGGUCCUCACUCACAGAUCCGAACGCAUGAAUCUGAGAUGAGGACCAGAGAGCUGCCUGUUGAAAAGCAUCCCAGUGAUUCUGAUGCAGGCGCCUCCCGGCACUCACUCUGACAAACACCGUCCACAGCGCGAUUGUUAAUUGCCGCACUGUGUUUUAUUACAUAGACGUGCCAUAACUUAUUAAACCAAUCUGAUAUUGUUCAUUCAACUCUAGUUUCCAAAUUUUCAUCUGCAUGAUUAAUUCCUCAAUGAAUAACCUACUACAUAACUCUUUCUGAACCUCUCUGAUUAUUCGCUUACAAAGAUGCUACAAAGCGGAAUUACUGGGUCAAAGAGAAUGCAAACUUGAGAAAAGCAGAUGGUAUUUUGGGUAGAAAAACAACCUUCUAAGCUGUAAAGUAUUAGACUAAGAUGAAAGAUUUAACAGCUGCCGCUUUCUGAGAGACUUUCAUACACCAGGAUGGUGGUUCUCAAAAUUUAUCCCGCGUGGACUCACCUGGAGGGCUUAUAAAAACAGAUUGCUGUCGCUUCCUCCCUGCCCGCUCUGAUUCAGCAGGUGAGGUGGGGCUGGAAAGGUGCGUUUCUAACAAGUUCUCAGAUGCUGCUGAUGCUGCUGGUUUGGGGACCACACUUCGAGAACUAGACGCUAUCCCAGCUGUUUCAAGCAAGUUAUUUAAAUGCCCUGGCAGCCCUUUACAGGCGAGGGCUGAGACUCAGAGAGGGUCUGAGGCCAUGAAGCUAAUGAUGCCAGAGCCGGGCGCUCUGAUUCCAGGUUUGAUCAUUUAAUGGCUGAUGCUUUCCUACAAACAGCCUCGUUUCUUACUUCAUUUCACUGCCCACAGAUAAAAUAUUUUUUGAUGUCUUCAUAAUAAGCGCCAAAGGUUCCGGUGUAAACCGCAUCCCUCCCAAUCUCGUAGGGGUGGCUGGGCGAGGAGAGAGGUUUGGAAGUGUUGGCUGAGAAUUUUUUCAGGGGCAGCUGGUCCAAUGAGUGACACUCCACCAUUCACAUCAAUCGGAUGGGUUCCUUCCCCGCCCUCCAUGGCUUCACCGACAUGUGGACUUCCAGACAAUCACUUCUCAACAGUUACUGCAACCGGGUAAUACUUCUUCCUCAGAAGAGAGCUCUCUCUUCUCCAAAAACCACCUCCAGGCUGCUCCACACAAUGGCCCAAACAACCUGUUUGUUCAGGCAACUCAGAAAAUAAAUCAUAUCAGUGCGGAAAAACAAGGAACUCCUGUCAAACCUGCUGGUUAAUAAUACCCGGCAGAGCAAACAGCAGGGGCCUGGCAAACAAGGAGCCAGGAUGGCUUCUCCCACACUCAGGUUAAGAGAGAUAGUUCCAUUGGAUGUGGGUGCCCGAGAACAAUCCAUCCUUCCUGCCCAAUUACAUAACUCAGAAGGCGUUACUCCUAUCUGUCUUAAGGCAAAUUCGGUCUGGGCUGCUUCAUCAUGUAAGACAAGGCAGUACAUCCAACAGCGACAUAAUUGGUCUUUCUGCAUGUGCUCUGAGCCCCCACGGCUUAUUGUUAACACAGCUACUAGAGUCAUCUUUCCAAAGUGACCAUAGUCAACAUGGGGGCGCCACCUGGUACCACGAGGAGCACACCAAGAAAGAGCAGCAACACUGAAGGACUGCGGGAGCCGGACGCUGGGAAUCUGCCGUCUUUCCCUGGACUGCCCACCUCGGCUCAGCUUUCACGUGAGAGAAAUAGAUUGUGUUCUCAUGUAAGCCACAGCCAUUUUGGAUUUUCCUGUUGUGCAGUCAAACCUAACCCUAAAUAAUGCACACCUGUGAUUUGAAAGCAUUUUAGCGCUUACAAAAACACCCUAUAUUACUUAUCUCAUUUCUUCAACAAUCCUAUACAAUGCAAGGAACAGGAACUAUCAUUCCCACUUUUCAGUCGAAGAAACUGACCUUUUAGGAAGUUAAAUGACUUGCACACGGUCAAACAACUAGUAAGUAGAGAGUCUGGAUCAAAGAGAAGUUCGAUAUCUUCGUACAACUAGUCCCACCUGUUGAGACAGGGAGACACAAGCCCGGUGCACGGUCCUGGAGUGAGACAGAUCUGACUGCAGAUUUUUCUGUCUGGCUCCUCUUGUCUUAGGCGAGUUAUCUACCUUUCGUGAUCCUCAUGUAAUUAUUUGCAAGGUGGGUAAACAAUACCUCUAGGGAUCAAACGCUCCGAAUGAGAUAAGGUUUGUGGAGCUCCUGGUCCAGGGUCUGAGAUACAGCAGAUGCUCAGUAAAUAGAGCUCUUAUGGUGGCAGAUGCUUAUCAUUCUAAAGGUUAUUCAGAUGUGGGAGCAAAGGAAUGGAGGGGAGAGACUCAAAGGCUGCUUCAUCUUGAAGUUCUGUAUGUCUGUAAAGAAUUUGAAAUAUUUUUCUUUCUUUCUGGUUCAAAAGAUCAGAUUAGUGGGCCUGGGAGUGGCUAAGUUUCUUGUGUCCUCUGAACAUCUUCAAGUUAUUUCUCCCUAUCUCCAUUUGGGGAGAGACGUCACAGAAAAAUGUUUUUUGCUUUCAAGCUUCUCACAAGACUCAAGAAGAUGGGAAAGCACCCAUUCCAAAGCAAUUUCUAAAUUUCCCUUAUAGAAGUGAAGCGGGAACUCCUAGAGUAGCAAGUUGAAUUUUGUUUCUCAAAUACAGUUUGCAUGCCCCCUUCAGGUAUGUGAUAUCAGACUCAACUAGAUGAGAAAAAUGUCCUUCAAGCCCCUCAGACCUUGAAGAAAGUCAUCCAGAUGCACCCUCUGACGUGCACCUGCAACCACAACGGGGAGCCACGAUGUUUCAGAAAUGUAUCAGCAGCAGAGAGCAUGUUGCUAUUCCCCACACAAUUCAUUUGACUUCAGCAACUUUUAAUAACACCAUCGGCUUGGUGCUAAACUGUGAAACGGAUUCCAUUUUUGUAAUAUUGUUAUUCCACGGCACAGUGCUGUUAGAAGCAGUCCCAGAAGCAAAGACAUCGUGCAGCAGCUGUGCAGAGCUGGCUUCUCAUCACAGCUGAACGCCAACAUGGGCGAAUCAAUGAGGAAGACACCCCCACUUCUGCGGACCUACAGCCGCCAGUUCCAAAGGCACAUAAAUAUCAAGCAUCCUGCAAGAGAAGUGACAUGGCAGCAGGGAGAAUGACAGUCAAGCCCUCCGUGGCCGGGAGCACAUAGAGGGUAAUCCUGCAGUGGCUGUUGUGACAGCAUCUAGUUUGUGGCCACUUUCGUCCCUCGCAAUCUUUUCUGCCCACCAGCAUAGCAAGAGGUCUCAUGGUUGCUUUUCAAUACUGAAGAUUUUGCUGGGUCCUGACUGUACUUCAUCUCUAAAGUGAAGCCUUUCCGGAUGCUUAUGUGCUGCUCCUUGACUCACUGACCUUAGGCUGCGUCCCUUUUCUGACAAGUGCCCUUUCUUACCACGUUUUUCACCCAUCUUGCUAUCUGACUCCAGAUUACAUUAAAUCAACUUUUAAUUUAUUUAGGUAAAUAGCAUUUAGGAAAGCUUUUAUGUCAUUUUAAAAAAGCAACUUCUAUUCAACUGGUAAUGGCCCUGGGAAGUUAUACACAUCUGGCUGUCAAGACUUAAAUGCACAUAUAGUUCUUUGGUGCAUGUGUAUGUUAUAAGUAAAAUUCAGAUGCUGAAGAUUAUUUGGACAGACACGGAACUCUGUUAAUUAGAGCUGCCUCUUCAGGAUCGGAACCUGAGAAUUGUGCUCUUAUUAUGUAAUACACAGGCAAAGUAGGUUACUGUACCUGACGUGGGGCAAAUGUUUAUAAUGUCCAGCCAGAACUGUCACCUGAGGACACAGAGAACAAAGAAACAGAAAGCCCUAAUCAGAUUAGAGCUUAACGAACCCACCUCCGGCUAGCUGUGGACUCGCCCAUGCCAGGCCGUGCCAACGAACAAACAGUAGGACAAAAAUGAGAGAACCAAACCUCUUCUGAAUUAUUUACAUUCUUCUGGUCGCUGUAAUUACAGGAUAUUUUUCAUUUUCUGUUACAACUUGCUCCCAUGCUGAUAUGUUUUUAAGUUGCGAUUUGUUCUCUGUUGCGAGAUAGUUAUGGUAAUCAUUAAAAUGGGCAAAAUUUCUUUCUGAAACAUAUAAAAAAUAAUAGCUGUGUAUGUUUCCACAGAACUGGCGUUUGUGGAUGAAUGGCAGUUCCAGUUAGGUUUUAUAUAAUUUAGCACAAACAUUGCUAGACUGCAAACAUACCACACACAGAACAUCAUAAUAUAAAUUAUGUAGUCCGAAUAAAAUAUCAGGAAAAUCACAUAGUUAAUAUAUUUAUAUAUUUGUCCUUUAUUCCUAAAUAUGAAUUUUUAAGGGAACAUUUUUUCCUGAUAACUAAAACAAUACGUGUUUACUUUAGAAGAGAUGGAAAAAACAAAAAUAAAAAGGAGUCAAUAAGAAUCACUCAUAAUCCUACAACCCAGAGACAUCCAUUCUGUUACCUAGGGGUGGGUAGUUAACUCUGUUAAUUAGGUACAUGCACCCUACUUCUAGUUUUUUUUCUAUACGUUUUAUUUUACAAAAUUGUAUUAUACUGUAACUGUUUUAUAGUCUUAAACAUAUAUGUAUGUAACUGGCAUAUAUAUAUAUAUAGUAACUGGC